RNAcentral lists this ribosomal RNA (427 nucleotides) under uncultured bacterium. RNAcentral's name for it is "bacterial SSU rRNA". It matches the Rfam family "Bacterial small subunit ribosomal RNA", at positions 355 to 774 of the family's 1533-position model. The record is from RNAcentral.
UGGGGAAUUUUGGACAAUGGGCGAAAGCCUGAUCCAGCCAUGCCGCGUGAGUGAAGAAGGCCUUCGGGUUGUAAAGCUCAUUUAGUCGGAAAGAAAGAGUUGCAAUGAAUAAUUGUGAUUUAUGACGGUACCGACAGAAAAAGCACCGGCUAACUACGUGCCAGCAGCCGCGGUAAUACGUAGGGUGCGAGCGUUAAUCGGAAUUACUGGGCGUAAAGGGUGCGCAGGCGGUCUUGCAAGUCAGAUGUGAAAGCCCCGGGCUUAACCUGGGAAUUGCGUUUGAAACUGCAAGACUAGAGUGCAGCAGAGGGGAGUGGAAUUCCAUGUGUAGCAGUGAAAUGCGUAGAGAUGUGGAAGAACACCGACGGCGAAGGCAGCUCCCUGGGUUGACACUGACGCUCAUGCACGAAAGCGUGGGGAGCAAACA